RNAcentral lists this ribosomal RNA (374 nucleotides) under uncultured bacterium. Its description in RNAcentral is "bacterial SSU rRNA". It matches the Rfam family "Bacterial small subunit ribosomal RNA", at positions 524 to 896 of the family's 1533-position model. The record is from RNAcentral.
UACGGAGGGUGCAAGCGUUGCUCGGAAUUAUUGGGCGUAAAGGGCAAGUAGGUGGUCUCAUUUGUCUGGGGUGAAAGCCUUGAGCUUAACUCAAGAAGUGCCUCAGAAACGGUGAGACUCGAGUUCUGGAGAGGGUCGUGGAAUUCCCGGUGUAGCGGUGAAAUGCGUAGAGAUCGGGAGGAACACCUGAGGCGAAGGCGGCGACCUGGACAGAUACUGACACUCAACUGCGAAAGCGUGGGGAGCAAACAGGAUUAGAUACCCUGGUAGUCCACGCUGUAAACGAUGGGUACUAGGCUGGGCGGGUCUUGACCCCUGCUGAGCCGGCGCUAACGCACUAAGUACCCCGCCUGGGAAGUACGGUCGCAAGACUA